This 497-nucleotide ribosomal RNA is filed under the name uncultured bacterium. Its description in RNAcentral is "partial 16S ribosomal RNA". It matches the Rfam family "Bacterial small subunit ribosomal RNA", at positions 28 to 507 of the family's 1533-position model. The record is from RNAcentral.
GAUGAACGCUGGCGGCGUGCCUAAUACAUGCAAGUCGAGCGAACGGACGAGAAGCUUGCUUCUCUGAUGUUAGCGGCGGACGGGUGAGUAACACGUGGAUACCCUACCUAUAAGACUGGGAUAACUUCGGGAAACCGGAGCUAAUACCGGAUAAUAUUUUGAACCGCAUGGUUCAAAAGUGAAAGACGGUCUUGCUGUCACUUAUCGAUGUAUCCGCGCUGCAUUAGCUAGUUGGUAAGGUAACGGCUUACCAAGGCAACGAUGCAUAGCCGACCUGAGAGGGUGAUCGGCCACACUAGAACUGAGACACGGUCCAGACUCCUACGGGAGGCAGCAGUAGGGAAUCUUCCGCAAUGGGCGAAAGCCUGACGGAGCAACGCCGCGUGAGUGAUGAAGGUCUUCGGAUCGUAAAACUCUGUUAUUAGGGAAGAACAUAUGUGUAAGUAACUGUGCACAUCUUGACGGUACCUAAUCAGAAAGCCACGGCUAACUACGUG